RNAcentral lists this ribosomal RNA (515 nucleotides) under uncultured bacterium. RNAcentral describes it as "partial 16S ribosomal RNA". It matches the Rfam family "Bacterial small subunit ribosomal RNA", at positions 28 to 523 of the family's 1533-position model. The record is from RNAcentral.
GAUGAACGCUGGCGGCGUGCCUAAUACAUGCAAGUCGAGCGAAUGGAUUAAGAGCUUGCUCUUAUGAAGUUAGCGGCGGACGGGUGAGUAACACGUGGGUAACCUGCCCAUAAGACUGGGAUAACUCCGGGAAACCGGGGCUAAUACCGGAUAACAUUUUGAACCCCAUGGUUCGAAAUUGAAAGGCGGCUUCUGCUGUCACUUAUGGAUGGACCGGCGUCGCAUUAGGUAGUUGGUGAGGUAACGGAUCACCAAGGCAACGAUGCGUAGCCGACCUGAGAGGGUGAUCGGCCACACUGGGACUGAGACACGGCCCAGACUCCUACGGGAGGCAGCAGUAGGGAAUCUUCCGCAAUGGACGAAAGUCUGACGGAGCAACGCCGCGUGAGUGAUGAAGGCUUUCGGGUCGUAAAACUCUGUUGUUAGGGAAGAACAAGUGCUAGUUGAAUAAGCUGGCACCUUGACGGUACCUAACCAGAAAGCCACGGCUAACUACGUGCCAGCCGCCGCGGUAA